This 119-nucleotide ribosomal RNA is filed under the name Phaseolus vulgaris (common bean). Lineage: Eukaryota; Viridiplantae; Streptophyta; Magnoliopsida; Fabales; Fabaceae. The record is from RNAcentral.
AGGUGCGAUCAUACCAGCACUAAUGCACCGGAUCCCAUCAGAACUCCGCAGAUAAGCAUGCUUGGGGGAGAGUAGUACUAUGAUGGGUGACGUAGUGGGAAGUCCUCGUGUUGCACUUC